Molecule: long non-coding RNA, 818 nt
Organism: Rhinopithecus roxellana (golden snub-nosed monkey)
Lineage: Eukaryota; Metazoa; Chordata; Mammalia; Primates; Cercopithecidae
Exons: 4
Source: RefSeq, a predicted model, not a curated record
GUUUUCCCGGGACAGGACUCGACUGCUGCCAACACUUAACGCUGCAGAGAAGUCUGAGGGAUAUGUCUCUAAAAGGGCUGUUCCUCACAGAUGUCUGAGGCCACCUUCAAUUAAACCCAAGCCUCUUCCUUUUCUACUGGAGCCCCUGGCUGAGAUUCUUCCUGGAACUUUUUGAAACAACACCACCGGCUGCAGUCAUUACCAGUGGGAGCUUGUUCGCAGGGCAUGCACAGAAACCUGUGGACCGUGGGUUAGGCUCUUGCAAGACUUCCCUGAAAGAUCGGACCUGAUCACCGACAACAUUUGUCUGCAUUUUCCCUUGACAAGAAAGUCCACUGCAUGGUGAAGCUGGUUCUCCAAGGCAGACUAGAUAUAGAAAGGUUCCUGGAAGAGACAGCUUAGGAGCUGCAACUUGAAAGAUACGUCAGAGAUCUCAUUGUGUUUGCCCUCUGUCCAUCCAUUCUCCCUUCUGCUGCUGCCAGCAUCUCAAUUUGCCUUGAAGAAUCGUCCUUCUGUUGGUCUCAGACAAUGUGGGUCUGGUGCCCAGCUCCUUCCUGUACACACCAGCCUGAGCAGUUGACAGCUGACUCAAGAUGACAGCUGUGCCAUCCCCGACCCUUGUGACCAGUUCAGGAGUGUGCAUUUUAAAUAGGUGGUGCUCCAGCUGCUGAAGUUACCGUGACGAACAGACAGGAGGAGUCUUUGGGAGUGAGGGGUGAGAUGCAGGCAAGAAGUGAAAAGACGAGGGGAUCACGCAAUGGUUUAAAGAAGUGUUGUGCUAUGGAGAGUAAGGCUGCAUCUCACUCUCCCUGGGUCCA